CUUACACAUGCAAGUCGAGGGGUAUCCUAGCAAUAGGAGAGACCGGCGCACGGGUGCCUAACGCGUAUGCCAUCUACCUUUCACAAAGGGAUAGCCCAGAGAAAUUUGGAUUAAUACCUUAUAGUAUAGCGAGUUCGCAUGGAUUUGCUAUUAAAGAUUUAUCGGUGAAAGAUGAGCAUGCGUCCCAUUAGCUAGUUGGUAAGGUAACGGCUUACCAAGGCUACGAUGGGUAGGGGUCCUGAGAGGGAGAUCCCCCACACUGGUACUGAGACACGGACCAGACUCCUACGGGAGGCAGCAGUGAGGAAUAUUGGUCAAUGGGCGCAAGCCUGAACCAGCCAUGCCGCGUGCAGGAUGACGGUCCUAUGGAUUGUAAACUGCUUUUGUACAGGAAGAAACACUCGGACGUGUCCGAGCUUGACGGUACUGUAAGAAUAAGGAUCGGCUAACUCCGUGCCAGCAGCCGCGGUAAUACGGAGGAUCCAAGCGUUAUUCGGAAUCAUUGGGUUUAAAGGGUCCGUAGGCGGCUUAAUAAGUCAGUGGUGAAAUCCCUACGCUUAACGUAGGAACGGCCAUUGAUACUGUUAGGCUUGAAUUAUUAGGAAGUAACUAGAAUAUGUAGUGUAGCGGUGAAAUGCUUAGAGAUUACAUGGAAUACCAAUUGCGAAGGCAGGUUACUACUAAUUGAUUGACGCUGAUGGACGAAAGCGUGGGUAGCGAACAGGAUUAGAUACCCUGGUAGUCCACGCCGUAAACGAUGGAUACUAGCUGUUGGGAGCAAUCUCAGUGGCUAAGCGAAAGUGAUAAGUAUCCCACCUGGGGAGUACGUUCGCAAGAAUGAAACUCAAAGGAAUUGACGGGGGCCCUGCACAGCGGUGGAGCAUGUGGUUUAAUUCGAUGAUACGCGAGGAACCUUACCCAGGCUUAAAUGUAGAUU
This 937-nucleotide ribosomal RNA is filed under the name uncultured Flavobacteriaceae bacterium. RNAcentral describes it as "bacterial SSU rRNA". It matches the Rfam family "Bacterial small subunit ribosomal RNA", at positions 48 to 993 of the family's 1533-position model. The record is from RNAcentral. Lineage: Bacteria; Pseudomonadati; Bacteroidota; Flavobacteriia; Flavobacteriales; Flavobacteriaceae.